Astatotilapia calliptera (eastern happy) is the source of this 4944-nucleotide long non-coding RNA. The record is from Ensembl. NCBI's taxonomy places the organism in Eukaryota, Metazoa, Chordata, Actinopteri, Cichliformes, Cichlidae.
UUAUUAUUUGAUGAGGGGGGCGUCUGGUUUUAGGAGAAACCAUUAAUGAGACACUGGAGGGUGGUGGUGGGGGGAGUUUAGUUUGUCUGCAUUUGUGCAGAUUUGUCUGCAUUUCGGCCAUUUGCAUAGAACGGCGAGGGUGCCCAUAUGCUGCGCGGCGAGGCAAAUUCAGUCACAGUCUUUUGAAGGUCUCCCUCGCAUGAUCACACGAGAGAAGAGAGUGUUGCGCCCGUCCGUGUUUGGCGGUCACAUUAUUUGUGGGAGAGCAGCAGACGCGCGCUCAGAGCCCGUUUCUCACAAAAAACACGUAAACACCCCUACUACACAGGAGCCUCGUGUUCGUUGCAUCACCGUUUCUGUCCAGCCAAUGUGGAGCUGCUUUCAGCCAAUGACAAACGGCAAAGAGUCAGGAAGAGGAAAGAAAGGCGAGGCGAGUCAUGAGUUUACCCUUGAUGUGCUGGAGAAGAGGGAACAAGCAAAACAGAGGGAUGCAGAGGAUAGUGGGAAGGGGAAUGGCGACACGAGACCAGCGCUUUGCAAGAUAGCGGACCGAGUUUUAUGGUGAAAGAAUACAGACGUUUAUUAGAAAUAUACAUGAUCGCCGUGCUGUGCUGAAUCAAAGGGUUUUUUGUGUGUGUGCCAGUCAGACUGAUCAAUUUGAGAGGGAAGAAGGGAAAAGGAAAGCUCGCCACCCCCCCAUAGUAUGCACUGAGCUGUGAAGACAGUGCAUGAGGCCCACAAAUGUCAGACAGUCAGACACAGAUACAAUACUGAUCUCCAUAAUUACCUGUAUGAAUACAGCCGUGUUUAAAGUGUGAUUGUCCUCCGUGCAGGAGGUCUGAGCUCGGAGCGUGGGAAUCUAGCGAGCAGAUAUGCAGAACAGUCGGCUGCCGGCGAGACAGCCUCGGCAGCAUGAAUGCUGUCGUAGCAGGUGAAAGAGGACCCUAGAGUUCAUGGGUCAAGGCCAGUGAAGGGGUUGUCUGGUUCAUGACUCUGUGUGUGUGUGUGUGUGUGUAGGGCCUCUCUGGUUGUUGUCUGGGUCUUGCAAGAUGCAAAUGAAGUUUUGAGACUGUUUGAUAAGCACUGCCGUCUAUUAUUAGCUCAGUGUGGUUGUUCAGAGAGGACUGGGCGUAGACUUGGACAAGCGCUCCUUCAUCAUCUUGUAGUCACAGCAGAGUAGCAGACAGGCAGAUAGACAGGCCGCCUAAAGUCAGACCUCCCCUGCUGAAAGUGUGAUUGUGUUGUCUGGAAGCCUUUUCUCUCCACAUCUCUGCUCUCUGGGACAUUUCUUCUCUGAGUGACAUGUUGGUCUCAGGCUCUCCAGUGUGGUGCCUGUCUUUGUUUCUUGCUGACUGACUGCAGCUUUGUACCAAGACUCCACAUUUCCAUGAUGGAGGAAAUCCAGAGUCCUCUGGUUCAGACCGUUUAUUCACAUGCCAGGAAUUUCUUUCUUCAUUAUUGUCCAAAACUAUGAAAAAAAAAUGUUGUGAAAUGUUUUCUGAUUUAAAAGAACAUCUACAAUGUCCAUGUUAAAAAUGAGUAUUAAUCCAGAUCUGAUUAGUCCCCUAAAAAACUGUAUUUACUGUUGUUAGAUUAACACUUGCCAAAAACCAGUGACCAGCUGAUGAUGAAAACUGCAACUAUAUACAGAUCAUUAAGUACACCUGUUCAGCUGCUCAAAUAAUCAACAAUAAUCAAAUCAGCCAAUCAUAUGGCAGCAACUUGGUCCAUUUAGGAAUUUCGAUGUAGUCAAGACAAGCUGUAGAAGUUUAAACCGAACAUCAGAAUGGGGGAGAUGCUUGUUGGUGCCAGACAGCCUGCUCUGAGUAUUUCAGAAACUGUUGAUCUACUGGGAUUUUCCCACACAGCCAUCUCUAGGGUUUACAGAGAAUGGUCUGACAAAGAGAAAUAUCAAGUGAGCUGCAGUUCUCUGGGUGAAAUGCCUUGUUUAUGCCAGAUGUCAUACUGCUCUGAGCUGAUAGGAAGGCAAGAGUAAGUUAGUAACUUUUUACAACCUUGCAUAUCUUGUCUGAUGAGUCUCUCUAUUUUUGCCAUGACAUUCGGAUGGUAGAGUCAGAAUUUGGUGUAAACCACAAGCAUGGAUCAUGUGAUAGUCUAGGGGAUAUUUCCAUGGCACACCCUUUAACCUGACUGUUUCCAGCAGGAUAACGCAUCAUGUCACAAAACUAAAUCAUCUCAAUCUGGUUUCUUGAACAUAAUGAGUUCACUGCACUCAGAUGGCCUCCACAGUCAACAGAUCUCAAUCUAAUAGUUUGAUGCUAUUAUGUAAAUAUAGAUCAACAUAUCUCAGGAAUAUUUCCAGCACCUUGUUGAAUCUAUGCCACCCAGAGUGAUGGCAGUUCUGAAGGAAAAAGACAACCCUCUACUAGCAAGGUGCACCUAACAAAGUGGCCGGUGAAGGUAGAUGUGAAUUUAUAAAAAUGAACAUCUUCAUUAAGAACUAAUUGUGCUAAACCCUCUCAGCCUGGUCCUGUGCAAGCUCAUAGGAGCACAUAUCUUGGCGUGAUGCGUUCGUUGUGCGACUAAAGGUGCGUUACUUACGGUAUCCCUUUAAGAGAGACAGCAUUACCUCAUCAGGAGAUGUGUAAAGGAAGGAAGUGAGUGAAUGGGUGUAGGAGCGCAAUGCUAACUCUCUCCAUUCCUUUAUGUUUGGGGAUCCAGGCUUCAUUAGCUCUACAGAAAGGGACAGCUCCCUCCCAGUCCCCUCAAUAGACCCAUAGACCUGUCUCUGGCAGAGGCUCUGGCUCAGUGGGGAGUGUGUGUGUGUGUGUGUGUGUUUGCAUGUGCUUUUCUGAUCCAUUGACACACCACUCAUAGUUUCUCACUCAUGCCCAAAGGAAGCCUGGCAUGGACACUUUUAGACUCUCUCGCUCUCUCUUUGUCCCUCACUCUUGUUCUCCCUCACAUUAUUGUCUGCUUCACAAAUUUUUUUUUUUACUCCUCUCACAGAACUGGACAUUCAGUGAAGAGCCAUAUGCUGUACAGGAUACAGACUGUUUUAUUUGUCACAUUUUCACUUGAAUCAGUUAGUGUUAAUCUUUUUUUCAAUACUUAUAUACAUAUUUCUGAUUUUGCAUGAAGCUUCUACCUUAAAAAAGGGGCGAGAAUAUUUAAAGUUUUACAUAUUAAUGUCUGCAUUAAUCAGUCCUUUAUCUUCUUUCAUUUUUAUGCUAAAAUCAUUCAUUACUUUUAUUGACAGUAUUGGGAUUCUGUUUGAAAGUAUUCUUCCAUGUACUUGCAUGUUCUGUGGAGGGGGUCUGACCAUAACAGUGGUCUCUGUCUGGUUAAGGCUUAGGCUUAAACACCCUCAACCAUGUGACAUAUAUUUUCCCCAUGUUUCUUCUCCCUUAUUUUCCUCUAUAUUAACAGCAGCCACAAAAAUCUACCUUAAAAAACGAUAUCUCUGUAUCCGACUAAAUUUAAUUCUAAUUAGAGUAGCUUACCUUGUCACACUGCUUUAUACUAUCAGCUGGGUCAAGCACACUGACGAAUGUGAUGCAGUUUGUAAAAAAGCAUGAAUAAAAAUCUAGAAACACAGAAAUGCAGUGAUUUCCCUCUACAGUUAGCAUUGCAAGUCUUUUUUUCCCCAUCCGGCAAUGUGUGCAGGCAGCUAUUCGGGGUCCUCGCCUAGUGAGAGCCAGGAGACAUAUUGACGGCGCAGGAGAAAAAUCUGCUUGCGUUUGGCUCAAAGACCAGGCCUGUUCAUCUGUUGUUUUUCUGGUGUAUAACAAAACCUCAGAAACAAAGAUUUUGUUGUAAUAUGGGUUAACAUUGAUAUUUUAAAAACACCAAAAAAAAAAUGUUAUUUCAUUGUCUCUUAAGAUGUACUUUAUUGCCAACAAGCAUCUGGGGUUGAAUAAAGAAAUGUAUUUAAAGCUUUUAAAUAUAUAUUGUUUAUUGAGAGCCUUGUGUUUUGUUUGCUGUCCACUGCUGUAUUUGAUGCUCGUCAUUCGGCAAGAGUAUAGAGAAAAAUUUGAACUAAUUUUUUUAAUAAAAAGUCAGAUUGAUCACACCGCACUUUUAUUUUUGUGCCAGUUUUACAAUAAAGACUUUGUGUCUAAUGUAUAUAUAUGUGUGUGUAUAAACGCGCGGUCAAUAAAGUAACAUUAAUUUGAACCUCCUAUUUCCAGCUUUUUUUUUUUAUUACUUAGUUUUCAUUCUAAAUGCACAUUUCCCUAAAAUAUCUAAUAAGUCUAAUUUGGGCAUGAAGCUGUCACAUAUUUUUAUAAAGACCAAAAAAUGAUGGUGAAACUGAUUUUUUAACAUUCAGUUUAUUUUCUCACAUUUAUUUCAUUCAUUAUCGUAAGUCUAGCGCACUUAUAGCUAUUUACAAAACAAUACUACCUCCAGUGUCUUGUUACAUAAAGAAAUAUGCAAUAGAGAAAACUCACACAAUAACAUUUUCACUACAGUUAUUCUGACUUUUUGACAAACGUGGAAGUUUUUUUUGUUUGUUUGUUUUUUUAUUUGAUUUGUCUCAAUUUGCUGGUUUAGUGCAGAGGAAUAAACAGAAAUAUUAAAUCUUUUUGUUUUUACUUUUUAAAAAUUAUUUUUGUGUAGGCCCACACAUGCUAUUUGCCAUAAAAGACUGGUCUGUUUGUGCCUUUUUAAAUCAAACAGUGAAUGUAGAAUUUCUUUUCUUCUAGCUCAGCAAAAUUAGGCCCACACCAAACUGUGCUCAGACUCAGAGUGUAGUAGGUCAGGAAGAUUGGAAUAUUUGCAUUUUAAACAAACUGGCUUUUUGAAGCAUUUAAACAAAAAGGGGGGGAAAAGAUCGGGUUUUGAAGUUUUUAGCUACAUAUCUUUGACGUGGUUAAAAAACAAAAAUGCUCGCUAUACUGUCUACAGCACAGUUUUAAUAUUACUAACCAGAAAAGCAGGUGUAUUUGUAAAUCAAACACAAGGAGCUUAAUGGUAUAUUAU